Molecule: RNA transcript, 4168 nt
Organism: Mercenaria mercenaria
Lineage: Eukaryota; Metazoa; Mollusca; Bivalvia; Venerida; Veneridae
Exons: 5
Source: RefSeq, a predicted model, not a curated record
AAAAAAAAAAAAAAAAAAAUGUUUUAUAUGAGCCGCGCCAUGAGAAAACCAGUAUAUAUUGGUUUUUCGAGCAGCCUGUCUACUGUAGACUGGAAAUCGAGCAUCUACUUUGGUAACAUUUUGCUAGAUAGAUAGUUAGAUAUAGUCGCUAGAAAAGUAAGAGUACCAUGAUGGACAAAAUGUGUUAAUAUUAUUGUUAUAAUUCGAAGAAAACCACCCUCACAGCUCAGUAUAUAACUUGUGAACAAACUACUGGUAUAAUUAUAGAUCUAUAGAUCUGUUAAUUAUUGAUUUAUUUUACAGUAACUAUGACCUUAUUGUUAAGCUAUGUUUAUUGUAAUAUGUAUGACGAGAAACUGUGUACAGUUUAAGUCAAUAAAAUAUUCUUCUUCUUCUUCUUCUCAUAAAACUUGCAUAAUGCAAACAAAAUCGUUUGUUUGAAUGUUUAACAGAUACCAUAAAAUGAUGAAUGCUCACAUUUCAUUUGCAAUCGGGCUUCAUGGGACUGAAUAUUUGGAAAGGGAAUUUUAUUACGACAUCUGAAAAAUAUAAAUAAAAGAAAUAAAGUAAAUUUACGGGUUCUUCACGUAGAAAUAUGAAAUUUCUGAACCGUUUGAAUACAAGAGGACUGCAGUUGUAAUUCACCCCAAAUGUCUUUUCAAACAGUAUGUCCGUUCUAUGGAUGUGAGAUUAAAAGACAAGGAAAGCCUGACGAACAGUUAACUUCCUAUGAAAGCCAUUAUCAAGCAUUUCAUAACGCUGAAAGAAUUUUUAAAAUCGGACCACUAUUAAAAAAGAUAUGGCAGUUUGAAAUUUAAGAAAAUUGCUGAUCAUGGAGGCAGGCAUUUUGUGUGUUUAUGACGUCAUUUACACACUGGUGAAUUCUUCAUUUAGCAAAACAAAUAACUUUUGGGAUUGAUUAAAUUUAUAUGUUUCUUGACUGUAAGAUGUAAAACAUGCUAAUUUAUUUCAUUAUAGCUUGAAAAAAUAGAUGAAUUAUUUUACAGAAAUAAGUAAAUACAGUUCAAAUAUGUGUUUAGAAAUUUUGAUCAAAUACUUAAAUGCUCAUAACAUUUUCAUCUUUAAGCCGAUUUUGAAAAUUCUUUCACUUCUUUAGAUGAUUAUAAAAUCCCAGCAGAUGGAAUUAACAUCAAACAACGUUGCCUUUCCCUUUAAAUAUUUUGUAUUUUUCCUAUCAGAUACUUCUUGAAAUUAACAAUGCGUUAUAGUUAACGCAGAUGUGCAUUUCUGAGAAAGUCGAUACAUCCAAGUGUUUUCUCUUAAUGCUUGAUCAGUAAAUAAGUAGUGAGUAAGUUUUCAACAAUAUGUCUAUAAUAGAAUGCAUAUAAUUGGAAUAUAUGUAGUGUUAUGAGUACUGUAUAUGUUUAAGCAAGAUAUUUUAAAUGUACACAAUGGAUGAUUGUACAUCUGAUUCAGUGAAACGGUACUGCGUAUGGUCAGUUAGAUAUGGUAUUCUGAUUUUCAUUUCUUCAUUCAUUGUAUUAAAGUGUAUAAGCGAAGGAAAUAUAUCUGUGUUAUACAGACCUUUCAGUGAAUCAAUUAUACGUGUGUUCGGAUAUAAAGACGAUGAAAACAACAAUGGUGUAUACGGUAACACAUAUCAUGACAAUAAUAAUGAAGUCCUAAAUUUAGCAAGAAAAAUCAGUUCAUAUAAUAAGACAGUUUUAGUUAGUGUAGUAAAUGACGCAUAUUUACCCUUUGCUUAUAGCUGGCUUUGUAAUACGAAAGGCAUGGGAGUUCAUAAAUCUGUAUUAGUAAUUACAACGGAUAAUACAUCUAAAAUUAAGCUUAAUAGAGACUGGCCUGAAGUGUCAGUCUUCCAUCUACAACUUGAUAUACCCAAAGGUGAUCAGGAAUAUAGUCAUGUCGGCUAUGUCAAAAUUAUGAUUCGUAGGACAGAAAUAAUUUUGUCUUUAUUACAGGCAAACAUUGACUUGCUUUUACUUGAAUUUGACUACGUUUUGUUUUCAAACCCAAUACCUGGCUUACAAAAGCGAUCUGGUGUUGACAUGUUUGUGAAUCCAGUUUCUAAUACCGGAGGAACUAUUUUCAAUGGAGGACUACUUUAUCUUUUUGCAACAAACCGCACAAAAGUCCUAUGGACUAAGCUAACAGAAAUGACGUGGAAGCUUGAACGAGAUAUAAAGGAGAAACCAGAUAAAAAGGCAAUAUCCGAAAGGCAUAAUGACCAGACAUUCUUGUCGGAGUUAGUUCGUGAAAGGUAUGCAAACGUCAGUACAGAAUUACUAACGCUAGAUGUAUACGCUGAUGGUAAAUGGUACAGAAUGAGUAACGCCGAGAGGCAGAAAUUACAUCCUAUUGUUAUCAGCAACAACUUUAUAACAGGCAAACAUUGACUUGCUUUUACUUGAAUUUGACUACGUUUGGUUUUCAAACCCAAUACCUGGCUUGCAAAAGCGAUCUGGUGUUGACAUGUUGGUGAAUCCAGUUUCUAAUACCGGAGGAACUGUUUUCAAUGGAGGACUACUCUAUCUUUUUGCCACAGAUCGGACCAAAACCCUCUGGACUAAGCUAACAGAAAUGAUGUGGAAGCUUGAACGAGAAAUAAAGGAGAAACCAAAUAACAAGGCAAUUUCCGAAGGGCAAAAUGACCAGACAUUCCUAUCUAAGUUAAUUCGCGAAAGGUAUGCAAACAUCACUACACAAUUACUGACCCUAGAUGUAUACGCUGAUGGUAAAUGGUACAGUAUGAGUAACGCCCAGAGGCAGAAAUUACACCCUAUUGUUAUCAGUAACAACUGGAUAAUUGGAAACAAGAAUAAAAUCAACAGAGCAAAGGAAUGGAAUCAUUGGUUUUUACGUCCUGAUAAUACAUGUGAUAUGGAUACGGUUAAAAAGAUUGUUUACUCAGAAGUUUAGUAAAACGGUGUAGAUUAUGUCCGAUAUAUCUACGUUCUCCGUAUGCGCUCCGUUGAACGCUAAAGAAAGGGCACCAAAGCUACGACAUAGCAGCUUCAAACCUUGUUAAUAAAAGGAAAGGAAAUAAAAUAUGUUUUUCGCAGUCAUACAAAGCGAACGACAGAAUAAGACCGACAACUAUUAACUCAUUUUACAGCUUUGUCGAUCAUAUUCUGUCGUUCAUUUCGUAUGUACUCCGAAAUAACUUUAUUCAUUUUCUAACUGAGACGUCACGUUAAAAACGGUUAUCUUGGUUAUGACAUCAUAAAUUCAUUGAAUCCAUUACAAUUUCAAUGGACUAGCCUAUGUAUCAGUUUUCAUCGCCGUAAUGUCUGUCACUAUCAUAUCUAGUCCAAUAUCAAAACAUUGUAUGAUCUGAAAUACGAGUACUCAUGUGUUUUAUUACUCUUCUCAUUCCAUUGUUAACAUUUGUUCACAUAAACAGUGAUAUGAAAUCAACAAAAUACUUGAAGUUUUAUACAGAUGAUCUACGUUGUAAUAAUAAAUCAACAGACAUCGUAUAUGAAUGUUUUAAAAGUAAAAGACCUGUAUUAAAAGUAAUAUGAGGUUAUUUAACAGUGCUGAGUACAAUACUGAAUUCUAUUGGACGAGUACACAGCAGUAAUAAUCCAUAUUUGGACGAGGCGUAUUUGCCGAAUCGGCGCACUAAUUUGUCGGUCUGGAUUUGCAAAUGAAUGAUUUGCGCUAGAUAUCAUUUAAUUUUUAACUUUACAUUUUAACAGUAGCUUGCAUAAAAUAUGCAGCUGUGAUUUGCCUUCUGGUAAAACACACCGCGUGGUUUUUAUUUAAGGUGAAGAAGGUGUAAUGAGCGGGAUUUUCAAAAACAAGUUGCAUCCAUGAUAACAUACGUAAAUAAAAGUUGAUCUUCACCUGAUGUCUCUAAAUCCAGUGAAAAGUCAUUUUUGAAACUUUUUUCUCCAAAUUUGAAAGACGUUUGCAAACGACACCAUUUUGUUAUUAAUGAAUGACGCAUAGAAAAGGCCAUCUUUGAUACUAUUUUAUACUCCAAUAUUUUAUGCGAAAAUACACGCCUUUUCCAUCUUUACAAAGUAAAUGUAAAUACAGCGAUUUCACUAUCUUGAUCAAUGACCAAUAGAACAGCUGUCAGAAAUAAGUUAUAGCAAAGAGCUAUAAAAAUAAUGUAUUUUAUACUUCUUUGGUUAUAGUUAAUACCAUUCAUAAUUUCAAAUACAAGUCACUUAAUUAA